GGGGAUGUAAUGGUUUCGACAGUAUUAUUUUCGCAUAGAUGGCAAGUCGAAUGUUCACGUUACGAGCACAAAAAAAUAAACGCAAAUAAAAUUAAAAAUGCUGUAGCAGGAUUAUUUGGUGGAAACCAAGCUCUUGCUUUUGCCUAAUAUAAUAUAGAGGUCGGCGUCUCUACUAUUCUUACCUAGUGAAUAGAUAGGGAUUCAUUUUUAUAGGUUAUGUCUACUUUUUGCCUAGGAAGUAGAAAGAAUUAAUUGGCUGGUACAUUUAUUUUGUCGUUAACUACUUGAUAGAUGUAUGAGAAUAUUUAGUUAACUAAACUUGUAGAGGUUUAUGUAGAGGUAAUAUUGGACAGGAGUUCGAUUCUCCUCAUCUCCACCA
This 379-nucleotide transfer-messenger RNA is filed under the name Bacilli. Its description in RNAcentral is "CAG-417 sp017941235 Standard tmRNA". It matches the Rfam family "transfer-messenger RNA". Rfam says of the family: Bacterial tmRNA, also known as 10Sa RNA or SsrA, is named for its dual tRNA and mRNA-like properties. The record is from RNAcentral. RNAcentral also lists the same sequence under 1 other name. Lineage: Bacteria; Bacillati; Bacillota.